GAAUUUUGGGCAAUGGGCGAAAGCCUGACCCAGCAACGCCGCGUGAGGGAUGAAGGCCCUCGGGUCGUAAACCUCUGUCGGGAGGGAAGAACGAUCGGCAGUCGAACAGGCUGACGGUCUGACGGUACCUCCAAAGGAAGCCCCGGCUAACUCCGUGCCCGCAGCCGCGGUAAUACGGAGGGUGCAAGCGUUGUUCGGAAUCAUUGGGCGUAAAGCGCGUGUAGGCGGCUUGGUAAGUCGGGUGUGAAAUCCCGGGGCCCAACCCCGGAACUGCAUUCGAAACUGCCUCGCUAGAGUCCCGGAGAGGAAGGCGGAAUUCCCGGUGUAGAGGUGAAAUUCGUAGAUAUCGGGAGGAACACCAGCGGCGAAGGCGGCCUUCUGGACGGUGACUGACGCUGAGACGCGAAAGCGUGGGGAGCAAACAGG
RNAcentral lists this ribosomal RNA (426 nucleotides) under uncultured bacterium. RNAcentral describes it as "bacterial SSU rRNA". It matches the Rfam family "Bacterial small subunit ribosomal RNA", at positions 359 to 776 of the family's 1533-position model. The record is from RNAcentral.